Molecule: ribosomal RNA, 465 nt
Filed under: uncultured bacterium
Lineage: Bacteria
Description: partial 16S ribosomal RNA
Rfam family: Bacterial small subunit ribosomal RNA
Source: RNAcentral
CCUACGGGAGGCAGCAGUAGGGAAUCUUCCACAAUGGGCGAAAGCCUGAUGGAGCAACGCCGCGUGGGUGAAGAAGGUCUUCGGAUCGUAAAACCCUGUUGUUAGAGAAGAAAGUGCGUGAGAGUAACUGUUCACGUUUCGACGGUAUCUAACCAGAAAGCCACGGCUAACUACGUGCCAGCAGCCGCGGUAAUACGUAGGUGGCAAGCGUUAUCCGGAUUUAUGGGGCGUAAAGGGAACGCAGGCGGUCUGUUAAGUCUGAUGUGAAAGCCUUCGGCUUAACCGGAGUAGUGCAUUGGAAACUGGGAGACUUGAGUGCAGAAGAGGAGAGUGGAACUCCAUGUGUAGCGGUGAAAUGCGUAGAUAUAUGGAAGAACACCAGUGGCGAAAGCGGCUCUCUGGUCUGUAACUGACGCUGAGGUUCGAAAGCGUGGGUAGCAAACAGGAUUAGAUACCCGAGUAGUC